Molecule: unclassified non-coding RNA, 597 nt
Filed under: Pseudopithomyces chartarum
Lineage: Eukaryota; Fungi; Ascomycota; Dothideomycetes; Pleosporales; Didymosphaeriaceae
Description: sequence contains ITS1, 5.8S rRNA gene, ITS2
Rfam family: 5.8S ribosomal RNA (bases 242-395)
Source: RNAcentral
AAGGUUUCCGUAGGUGAACCUGCGGAAGGAUCAUUAACCUUUCAAAACAGGGUGCGUCGCGGCCCCCGAGGUGCGGAAACAAGCCUCGAGCGGUUUGGGGUCCUCCCCUUCACGCGCGCACGACUGCCAUCCUUACUUUACGAGCACCUUCUGUUCUCCCUCGGCGGGGCAACCUGCCGUUGGAACCGAAUAAACUCUUUUUGCAUCUAGCAUUACCUGUUCCGAAACAAACAAUCGUUACAACUUUCAACAAUGGAUCUCUUGGCUCUGGCAUCGAUGAAGAACGCAGCGAAAUGCGAUAAGUAGUGUGAAUUGCAGAAUUCAGUGAAUCAUCGAAUCUUUGAACGCACAUUGCGCCCCUCGGUAUUCCGUGGGGCAUGCCUGUUCGAGCGUCAUCUACACCCUCAAGCUCUGCUUGGUGUUGGGCGUCUGUCCCGCCUCCGCGCGUGGACUCGCCCCAAAUUCAUUGGCAGCGGUCCUUGCCUCCUCUCGCGCAGCACAUUGCGCUUCUUGAGGGGCUCCGGUUCGCGUCCAACAAGCACAUUUACCGUCUUUGACCUCGGAUCAGGUAGGGAUACCCGCUGAACUUAAGCAUAC